This 235-nucleotide ribosomal RNA is filed under the name Leishmania aethiopica. RNAcentral's name for it is "partial 5.8S ribosomal RNA". The stretch from base 110 to 235 matches the Rfam family "5.8S ribosomal RNA", at positions 1 to 126 of the family's 154-position model. From Rfam's summary of the family: 5.8S ribosomal RNA (5.8S rRNA) is a component of the large subunit of the eukaryotic ribosome. The record is from RNAcentral. Lineage: Eukaryota; Euglenozoa; Kinetoplastea; Trypanosomatida; Trypanosomatidae.
CGCGCGCCUAUACACACAAAAGCAAAAACGUCCGUUUAUACAAAUAUACGGCGUUUCCGUCUUUUGUUGGCGGGGGCGGGGGUGCGUGUGUGUGGAUAACGGCUCACAUAACGUGUCGCGAUGGAUGACUUGGCUUCCUAUUUCGUUGAAGAACGCAGUAAAGUGCGAUAAGUGGUAUCAAUUGCAGAAUCAUUCAAUUACCGAAUCUUUGAACGCAAACGGCGCAUGGGAGAAG